This is a long non-coding RNA of Triticum dicoccoides, 220 nucleotides long. RefSeq lists it as uncharacterized. The transcript is spliced from 4 exons. Lineage: Eukaryota; Viridiplantae; Streptophyta; Magnoliopsida; Poales; Poaceae. The record is from RefSeq and is a predicted model, not a curated record.
AGGUAUCGUCGGAGGUGCCACGUCAAGGAACAAGACCUGCCACGACCUAAAACACUGGCCAAGAUCUUCCUUAGGACCAAGAAGAGGCUGCCUUCGUCAACUCGCAGUCACGACAUAAACAGGGGAUUGACAGACAAGACAAGGAAGUGGCACGCAGAUCUUAUUGAUGAAAGCUUGCAAGCUGGUCUGGAACUUCAAUCAAGUGGGAAGGAAGGUAACC